RNAcentral lists this ribosomal RNA (305 nucleotides) under uncultured bacterium. RNAcentral's name for it is "partial 16S ribosomal RNA". It matches the Rfam family "Bacterial small subunit ribosomal RNA", at positions 337 to 643 of the family's 1533-position model. The record is from RNAcentral.
CCCUACGGGGGGCAGCAGUGGGGAAUAUUGCACAAUGGGGGAAACCCUGAUGCAGCGACGCCGCGUGAGUGAAGAAGUAUUUCGGUACGUAAAGCUCUAUCAGCAGGGAAGAAAAAAAGUCCUUUGGACUUUGGACGGUACCUGACCAAGAAGCCCCGGCUAACUACGUGCCAGCAGCCGCGGUAAUACGGAGGAUGCGAGCGUUAUCCGGAUUUAUUGGGUUUAAAGGGUGCGUAGGCGGAUUUUUAAGUCAGCGGUAAAAUGUCCGGGCUCAACCCGGGCCGGCCGUUGAAACUGGGGAUCUU